Cornus florida is the source of this 98-nucleotide small nucleolar RNA. RefSeq annotates it as small nucleolar RNA Z161/Z228. NCBI's taxonomy places the organism in Eukaryota, Viridiplantae, Streptophyta, Magnoliopsida, Cornales, Cornaceae. The transcript has a single exon. The record is from RefSeq and is a predicted model, not a curated record.
AAACCAAAUGAUGAGUUUGGAUUAAAUUUCUCACGACGGUCGUCUGAGACACCUCAAAGUGUCAGAACUGAUGCAAUGAUCCAAUGUUUCUGAUGGUU